AUCCUGGCUUAGGAUGAACGCUAGCUACAGGCUUAACACAUGCAAGUCGAGGGGCAGCAUUGGGAUAGCUUGCUAUCCAGAUGGCGACCGGCGCACGGGUGAGUAACGCGUAUCCAACCUUCCCUAUAGUAGAGAAUAGCCCGGCGAAAGUCGGAUUAAUGCUCUAUGUUGUGUUUUGAGGACAUCUGACGAACACCAAAGGUUCACCGCUAUAGGAUGGGGAUGCGUCUGAUUAGCUUGUUGGCGGGUAACGGCCCACCAAGGCGACGAUCAGUAGGGGUUCUGAGAGGAAGGUCCCCCACAUUGGUACUGAGACACGGACCAAACUCCUACGGGAGGCAGCAGUGAGGAAUAUUGGUCAAUGGGCGAGAGCCUGAACCAGCCAAGUAGCGUGCAGGAACCGACUGCCCUAUGGGUUGUAAACUGCUUUUAUCAGGGAAUAAAGUGCGGCACGUGUGCCGUUUUGUAUGUACCUGAUGAAUAAGGACCGGCUAAUUCCGUGCCAGCCGCUGC
Molecule: ribosomal RNA, 513 nt
Filed under: uncultured bacterium
Lineage: Bacteria
Description: bacterial SSU rRNA
Rfam family: Bacterial small subunit ribosomal RNA
Source: RNAcentral